AGAGGAGACCGGACGGCCGCCCUCCGCCAGAGAUCAUUGGUGGGCGGGAGGAAAGUCCGGACUCCAUAGGGCAGCGGAGUGGGUAACACCCACCCCCCGCGAGGGGCGGAUUAGAGCCACAGAGACGAGUCUCCUGCCGCGAGGCGGGAGGGUGAAACGGGCAAUCUCUCCGCGGAGCAAGACCGAAUAGACCCCGCCACGGGCGGCUCGUCCGGUCCGGCCGGAAGGCCGGGGUGGGGAGGGUAGGUUGCAUGAGAGGAAUGGCCGUCCCUCCGCAAGGAGGACAGAAUCCGGCUUACAGGUCUCCUCUCCGA
Molecule: RNase P RNA, 314 nt
Filed under: Candidatus Omnitrophota bacterium
Lineage: Bacteria; Pseudomonadati; Candidatus Omnitrophota
Description: RNase P RNA component class A
Rfam family: Bacterial RNase P class A
About the family: Ribonuclease P (RNase P) is a ubiquitous endoribonuclease, found in archaea, bacteria and eukarya as well as chloroplasts and mitochondria. Its best characterised activity is the generation of mature 5'-ends of tRNAs by cleaving the 5'-leader elements of precursor-tRNAs.
Source: RNAcentral